UAGGGAAUCUUCCGCAAUGGACGCAAGUCUGACGGAGCAACGCCGCGUGAGUGAAGAAGGAUUUCGGUUCGUAAAACUCUGUUGUUAGAGAAGAACAGCGCAUAGAGUAACUGUUAUGCGUGUGACGGUAUCUAACCAGAAAGCCACGGCUAACUACGUGCCAGCAGCCGCGGUAAUACGUAGGUGGCAAGCGUUGUCCGGAUUUAUUGGGCGUAAAGCGAGCGCAGGCGGUCAAUUAAGUCUGAUGUGAAAGCCCCCGGCUCAACCGGGGAGGGUCGUUGGAAACUGGUUGACUUGAGUGCAGAAGAGGAGAGUGGAAUUCCAUGUGUGAGGGUGGAAUGCGUAGAUGUAUGGAGGAACACCAGUGGCGAAAGCGGCUCUCUGGUCUGUAACUGACGCUGAGGCUCGAAAGCGGGGGGAGCGAACAGG
RNAcentral lists this ribosomal RNA (429 nucleotides) under Bacteroidota bacterium. RNAcentral's name for it is "Bacteroidetes bacterium partial 16S ribosomal RNA". It matches the Rfam family "Bacterial small subunit ribosomal RNA", at positions 355 to 776 of the family's 1533-position model. The record is from RNAcentral. Lineage: Bacteria; Pseudomonadati; Bacteroidota.